UGCCAGCCGCCGCGGUAAUACGGAGGGUGCGAGCGUUGUUCGGAAUCACUGGGCGUAAAGGGCGCGCAGGCGGUCUUAUAAGUCAGAUGUGAAAGCCCACGGCUUAACUGGGAGAGGUCAUUCAAAACUGUUAGGCUAGAGGAUGGAGGAGGAGAGCGGAAUUCCCGGUGUAGUGGUGGAAUGCGUAGAGAUCGGGAGGAACACCAGUGGCGAAAGCGGCUCUCUGGUUCACACCUGACGCUGAGGGGCGAAAGCGUGGGGAGCGAACGGGAUUAGAUA
Molecule: ribosomal RNA, 279 nt
Filed under: uncultured bacterium
Lineage: Bacteria
Description: partial 16S ribosomal RNA
Rfam family: Bacterial small subunit ribosomal RNA
Source: RNAcentral